UUUCCUAUCUCUUCAAUUGUAUAUCUCAAAUUUUUCAAUUAUAUAUCUCAAAUUUCUGUCUGUUCGUGCAUCACUCCCCCUUUUCUCCUCCUACAUUUCUUUAAACACUUCUCUCGUUCUUUUUCCUAACCUUUUUUUUUCUCCUCACGUAUUUCUCCAAACACCGCUCUCUCUCUCUCUCUCCCUAAUUUCCAUUUUCCAUUUUCUAUUUUCCAAUUUUUUGUGGCAACAACGAAAGACAAGAAAACCCCAAUUUCUGAACCCCUCAAAAUUUGAUUGGCAUCCUUCCACGCAGUUGAUUCUCUCUCUUCUCGCCCUUUUUUCUCAACAAGAGACCAGCAAAGGCGUCACGUCCACCACCGCUAGCAGACACACUGGCUUCAGGGAAGAGGGCCGUAUCAGCGAGCUUCUUACAUUCCGCAAUGCCAAGGUGAGGGUGAUUAUGAGAGAGAUAGAGAGGAGAGACUGAUUUUGUUUUACUGUAGAGAGAGGGGAGGAAGUCUUUGCAUUGUGGAAUGGAAGAGAUGAUGACAACAUGAUUUGAACUUUCUCUCUCUAAAAUCGACGUUCCACUCUUAUUAAUCCCUUUCUCGAGCUUUGUCAUUCUUUGGGGGCAAGAUACCUUCGAGCUCCUUUUCUUUACUGUUACCCCACCCCUCCUCCGAUUCCCUUGUUUAUUUGAAGGAUUUUUUGUACUUGUACCAGAUACUCUUAGAGCUCUCUCUCUCUAGUCUACUUUUGAUCUCUUUCUAUCUCUUCUUUCUCUGGAUUCUGGUGCUUGAUGGACUGGUAAAGCCUUUUAAGGAUAUAAGAUCGGGGAAUUUUGGGGUUGCCAGGCUUGUGAGAGAUAAGAAAACCAAAGAACUUGUCGUUGUUGAAAUACCUUGAGAGGGGGAACAAGGUAAGAUUUGCUCUUCUGAUGAUUUUCUCUCUGGUUGUACAGAUGUUGUUGUUUCAAUACUUCUAAUGCGCAACAUGUUGCCACAAAAAAUAGAAAAUCGGAGAAGGAUUUUGCCAAAAUGGGAAGUCGGGGAAAGUUUCCAAUGAUCUUGUAGUUUUUGAGAAACACAAGGUCCUGGCAAAAUGCAAGGAAAAACAAGAAAAUGAAACAAAAUUCGUUGAAAUCCAGUGGCUAUGGAGUUGGAGAGAGAGAGCAGGAAGAAAGAGAGGGAGGGGAGAGCAUGAAUUUUUAGAUUCGUGUGGUCUAAUAAAAUCGGUUUAAAUUAAUUCAAAAAAUCAGAAGAAAUAAUAUCUAAAAUUUUUAUUCUUCAAUAUAUCUUUUAAAACUUUAAGCCUGUGAAAUGAAACCCAAAAAUAUAAGAUAUAAAGAUAUUUUUUUAAUAAAAAAAUAUUAAUAAUGCAUUGAUAGAUAUUAAUAAAAGAAGGGUGCGGUUUCCAUAAGGUUCCAACUUUAAAUAAUCCACAAGGACCUUCAAAUUUUGUCAUAAUGUAUAAUUUUGAUGUAAAAUGUUCUUAAUAUUAUUUCAAAAUC
Molecule: long non-coding RNA, 1492 nt
Filed under: Amborella trichopoda
Lineage: Eukaryota; Viridiplantae; Streptophyta; Magnoliopsida; Amborellales; Amborellaceae
Description: long non-coding RNA (ATRI_LNC000511)
Source: RNAcentral